AAUCUACCUUAGUUACAGGGAUAGCCCGAGGAAACUCGGAUUAAUACCUGAUAUUCUUUAAAUUUCGCAUGAAAUUAAAAGGAAAGGUCAGCCGAACUAAGAUGAGCUCGCGUUCUAUCAGCUAGUUGGUGAGGUAAAAGCUCACCAAGGCUACGACGGAUAGCUGGUCUGAGAGGACGAUCAGCCACACUGGGACUGAGACACGGCCCAGACUCCUACGGGAGGCUGCAGCAGGGAAUAUUGCGCAAUGAGCGAAAGCUUGACGCAGCGACACCGCGUGUGGGAUGACGGAUCUAGGUUUGUAAACCACUUUCAGGAGGGAAGAAAAUGACGGUACCUCCACAAGAAGCCCCGGCCAACUACGUGCCAGCAGCCGCGGUAAUACGUAGGGGGCGAGCGU
RNAcentral lists this ribosomal RNA (400 nucleotides) under uncultured bacterium. RNAcentral's name for it is "bacterial SSU rRNA". It matches the Rfam family "Bacterial small subunit ribosomal RNA", at positions 123 to 541 of the family's 1533-position model. The record is from RNAcentral.